GUGGGGAAUCUUGCGCAAUGGGCGAAAGCCUGACGCAGCAACGCCGCGUGUGUGAUGAAGGUCUUCGGAUCGUAAAGCACUGUCGCGAGGGACGAAUAAGGGUCGGGCUAACAUCCCGGUCCGAUGACGGUACCUCGAGAGGAAGCACCGGCUAACUCUGUGCCAGCAGCCGCGGUAAUACAGAGGGUGCAAGCGUUGUUCGGAAUUAUUGGGCGUAAAGCGCGUGUAGGCGGCUUUGUAAGUUGGGUGUGAAAGCCCUCGGCUUAACCGAGGAAGUGCGCCCAAAACUGCUUAGCUUGAGUGCCGGAGAGGGUGGCGGAAUUCCCGGUGUAGAGGUGAAAUUCGUAGAUAUCGGGAGGAACACCAGCGGCGAAGGCGGCCACCUGGACGGUAACUGACGCUGAGACGCGAAAGCGUGGGGAGCAAACAGG
RNAcentral lists this ribosomal RNA (431 nucleotides) under bacterium. RNAcentral's name for it is "bacterial SSU rRNA". It matches the Rfam family "Bacterial small subunit ribosomal RNA", at positions 354 to 776 of the family's 1533-position model. The record is from RNAcentral.